AUUGAACGCUGGCGGCAUGCUUUACACAUGCCAGUCGAACGGCAGCGCGGGCUUCGGCCUGGCGGCGAGUGGCGAACGGGUGAGUAAUGCAUCGGAACGUGCCCAGUAGUGGUGGAUAGCCCGGCGAAAGCCGGAUUAAUACCGCAUACGACCUGAGGGUGAAAGCGGGGGACCGAAAGGCCUCGCGCUAUUGGACGGGCCGAUGUCGGAUUAGCUAGUUGGUGGGGUAAAGGCUUACCAAGGCGACGAUCCGUAGCUGGUCUGAGAGGACGACCAGCCACACUGGGACUGAGACACGGCCCAGACUCCUACGGGAGGCAGCAGUGGGGAAUUUUGGACAAUGGGGGCAACCCUGAUCCAGCCAUGCCGCGUGCGUGAAGAAGGCCUUCGGGUUGUAAACCGCUUUUGUUCGGGAAGAAAUCCUCUGGGCUAAUACCCCGGGGGGAUGACGGUACCGGAAGAAUAAGCACCGGCUAACUACGUG
This 484-nucleotide ribosomal RNA is filed under the name uncultured bacterium. Its description in RNAcentral is "partial 16S ribosomal RNA". It matches the Rfam family "Bacterial small subunit ribosomal RNA", at positions 28 to 507 of the family's 1533-position model. The record is from RNAcentral.